UCUACGGGAGGCAGCAGUAGGGAAUCUUCCACAAUGGACGAAAGUCUUAACGGAGCACCGCCGCGUGAGUGAUGAAGGCUUUCGGGUCGAAAAGUCUGUUUCAGGGAAGAACGGGCACCGGAGUAACGCUUGUACGUGACGUACUGUAAGAAGCCCGUCCCC
RNAcentral lists this ribosomal RNA (162 nucleotides) under Paenibacillus sp. M35. RNAcentral describes it as "partial 16S ribosomal RNA". It matches the Rfam family "Bacterial small subunit ribosomal RNA", at positions 338 to 499 of the family's 1533-position model. The record is from RNAcentral. Lineage: Bacteria; Bacillati; Bacillota; Bacilli; Caryophanales; Paenibacillaceae.